UAGGGAAUCUUCGGCAAUGGGGGCAACCCUGACCGAGCAACGCCGCGUGAGUGAAGAAGGUUUUCGGAUCGUAAAGCUCUGUUGUAAGUCAAGAACGGGUGUGAGAGUGGAAAGUUCACACUGUGACGGUAGCUUACCAGAAAGGGACGGCUAACUACGUGCCAGCAGCCGCGGUAAUACGUAGGUCCCGAGCGUUGUCCGGAUUUAUUGGGCGUAAAGCGAGCGCAGGCGGUUUGAUAAGUCUGAAGUUAAAGGCUGUGGCUCAACCAUAGUUCGCUUUGGAAACUGUCAAACUUGAGUGCAGAAGGGGAGAGUGGAAUUCCAUGUGUAGCGGUGAAAUGCGUAGAUAUAUGGAGGAACACCGGUGGCGAAAGCGGCUCUCUGGUCUGUAACUGACGCUGAGGCUCGAAAGCGUGGGGAGCGAACAGGAUUAGAUACCCUGGUAGUCCACGCCGU
This 456-nucleotide ribosomal RNA is filed under the name uncultured bacterium. RNAcentral describes it as "partial 16S ribosomal RNA". It matches the Rfam family "Bacterial small subunit ribosomal RNA", at positions 355 to 803 of the family's 1533-position model. The record is from RNAcentral.